UUGCACUGUUCGUAAUCUGUUGACAAUUGUUUUCUGUCUUUAGGUUCCAUUCCAGUGCAAAAGUAAAGCAGUCUCACUUAGAUUGAGCUUCCUUUAAUAGUUGGUUGUUUUCUUUGUGUGAGAACACAU
This is a small nucleolar RNA of Protopterus annectens (West African lungfish), 129 nucleotides long. Lineage: Eukaryota; Metazoa; Chordata; Ceratodontiformes; Protopteridae. The record is from RefSeq and is a predicted model, not a curated record.